Molecule: long non-coding RNA, 808 nt
Filed under: Manihot esculenta (cassava)
Lineage: Eukaryota; Viridiplantae; Streptophyta; Magnoliopsida; Malpighiales; Euphorbiaceae
Description: long non-coding RNA (MESC_LNC012639)
Source: RNAcentral
GACUCUAGUCAAGCACAUUAUCAAACUUACAUUACAUUACAUCUCAUACUUUUACAUUACCAACAAACCAUGUCCACAGCUAAGCUAUUACAUAAACUUCUCUUACUCUGCUGACUUCUCUAUCUACUCUGCACCUGCAAGACUGGGGUUAGGGGAGAGGGGGUGAGCUAUAAAGCCCAAUGAGCAAAAACUAAAAACAUUUGUUUUAAUUCCUCCAUUUUUAGGUAUAUUAUUAUUCAUUUUACUAUUUUUAUUAUUAUUAUUAUAUUUUAUCAUUUUAUUUAACUUUUUCUUUCUUUUUCUUAUUCAUGCUUUCAUGAAAUGCAACACAUCACAGCUAAUCACAUAAAGGAUGGUAUUGUCACCAUUAGUCCUCAACAUCUCCAAAUGCCAGGGGCGUAGAAUGGGCCUCACUGGUCUUUCUCUUACAUAACAUAACAUUCUAAAGUGCCAGGGGCGUAGAAUGGGCCUCGCUGGUCUUUCUCUUACAUAGUGCCAGGGGAGUAGAAUGGGCCUCGCUGGUCUUCCAUAACAUAUCAUCAUAACAUAACAUCAGAGGACUAUGGAUCACCCAACAACCAUCCACAUCAACAUCAAUUUAUGCAAUGCAGCAUAUUCGUGAAUUCUAAUGCAAACAUCCUGAAAUAUUGCAUGGCAUAAUGGUGCAUGGGCAAUGCUUUAUGAUUCAUUCAUUUAUUCAUUUACUUGACUUUAAAACUUAAGGGGAUUGUUCUACUCACCUGGUGACUGAAGCUUUAACAACGAACUCUGAACGACUAUCUCACAACCGGGGGUCUCGGUUCCUCGG